GUUCCUAUAGUUGAAUAACAACAGUAGUCCUUCACACUACAAGAUUGAGUUAAAACCUCAAUAGAAACC
Molecule: transfer RNA, 69 nt
Filed under: Neogymnocrinus richeri
Lineage: Eukaryota; Metazoa; Echinodermata; Crinoidea; Cyrtocrinida; Sclerocrinidae
Description: tRNA-Glu
Source: RNAcentral